Non-coding RNA from Drosophila melanogaster (fruit fly), 1840 nucleotides. The record is from Ensembl. Lineage: Eukaryota; Metazoa; Arthropoda; Insecta; Diptera; Drosophilidae.
GGUAAUUGCAUUCAGAGCGUAGCACUCUCAGGUCCCAGGAGGUACCUUUGAGUCCCGUAGUCGUAAAACCCCUUUCCAUUCCCUUCCGCGACUUCGACCACUGGGCACAGCCGGAGAUAGCCUCCGACGUUCCAUUUCCGCAGCAGGCGGCAGGAUAUUAUUAGGCAGAAGGGGUUAUGGAUUUUACAGAUUUCUGGAAUGGUUAGAAAAUAUUAAAGGUUUAUUUUACAUUUCUGCAAAAGGACCAACGUUUGAUUACACAUCGACCCCUGGAGCGAGGACUUAACCCGACGGCAGCUGCAUCAGUUUCAGUUCUCCGAGGGACAUGUAGAUGGAUACUCUGGGCCCUCAUCUGCGUCUUCGCGUGUGUUUGUGUGUUUUUAUAACAUUUGUGGAUUACGCCUAUAAAAACUACACUUCACCGCGAAGCCAGCGAAGUGGGCACCAGCUACAACAAAGGACAACAAUUAUUCUGCAAAAAUGAUACAACCUGUCGCUCGAGAGAUUACAAACGGAGCUGCUUUUAUGGUUUGUUCCGCUUUUGUUUAACGAUUCCGAGGAUCACACGUAAUAACCCACGCAAUCCACCACCGAAGUCGGAAAACCGACUCAACGGAACGCAGCGCAACUUGACUCAACCGAAACUCGACACUUAUCCCUGGGAACUCAAAAUAGUGUUUUAUUGUUGGAAAUUACGAUUCUUUUAUUUAUUUACUUUUUCUGCAUUUCUUUGCCGCCCCACACACACCCACCGUUUCAAUUUUUAUAUGUUUAUUACGGUUAUUAUCGCUUAAUGGGGCUCGCUCGCUGGUUAUUGCUGUUGUUGUGUUGCUUGCACCAGUAGUUGUGUCAGACUAACGUGUGAAGUUGUUUUAUUAUUUGUUUUGAUUAUCAAAAUGGGCGUUUUACAUUUUUCCGGUCGUUGGGCGGCCCACCUGCCACGGGCCCACCGCUUAUAGUCCACAUCCCAUAACCCCGGGGCAAGGGCAGUAAAUCACGGCCCGCUGUGAGUGGCUGAGUACCUGGGCAGCAGUACACUUGAAAAAUAAUAACCCUUCUCUUUUAAAAUAUUGGACGGCUAGACAUAAUAUUCAAUUACAAAUACAUCACAGCAAUAAACCAUUUUUCGGGCUUCUAUAACAAGUUGAAUUAACCUAAAGAACUUUUUAAUUUAUUUAAAAACCAUUUUGAAUUUAUUUAGUUAAAUUUAGUUACUUAAAAUGUUCCAUCAUGUAUAAAUUAGUAAUAUGUCAUAAAAAUAGUUUAAUUCAAUACUAUUUCGUUACAAUAAUACGAAUUUUGCAUCAUCAAAGGUUAUACAAAAUAAAAUUACCAGUUAUAUUUUCAGUGCAUGAGUAAAUCCACUCAUUCGCACUCGCUGUAUGACCCAUAAGCAGAAACCAAAGUGUGGCAAAAUGCUUAAUUUAGAAUUUAUGAGCAAUUAAUUUUAAAGCGCUCUCUGGCCAUUAACGCCGUUACUGCUUCUCCCCCUUGACCGUAAUACACCUUUGGUCAUUAAAGAAUUAAGAAGCCAGUGUGCCAAAAAUUGAUUGUUUAGCCAAUCCGCUGAUGGAUCAAUUAUUCAAUUGUUAUAGCCAAAGAGUUGGCAAUCCAAUUUGAGCACGAGUCGUAUUCCAACAAAUAGACAGGUAGGAAGCACAUUAACUGGUAGAUUUAUGAAUAAGAAAUAAUUUAAAUAAAUUUGUUAUGCUUUAGAAAUUGUUUAUUAAGGUUAAUUUAUGAGUGUUAAAUGGCUAAAAAUUAUUUAAUUGAAGGAUAAGAAAAUGUUGUGAUGUGGUAUGAUUUAAAUAAAAAAUACAAAAAUAAAUAUAGAAAAACU